This 69-nucleotide transfer RNA is filed under the name Enterococcus faecium. Its description in RNAcentral is "tRNA-Gly". It matches the Rfam family "tRNA". Rfam says of the family: Transfer RNA (tRNA) molecules are approximately 80 nucleotides in length. Their secondary structure includes four short double-helical elements and three loops (D, anti-codon, and T loops). Further hydrogen bonds mediate the characteristic L-shaped molecular structure. tRNAs have two regions of fundamental functional importance: the anti-codon, which is responsible for specific mRNA codon recognition, and the 3' end, to which the tRNAs corresponding amino acid is attached (by aminoacyl-tRNA synthetases). tRNAs cope with the degeneracy of the genetic code in two manners: having more than one tRNA (with a specific anti-codon) for a particular amino acid; and 'wobble' base-pairing, i.e. permitting non-standard base-pairing at the 3rd anti-codon position. Lineage: Bacteria; Bacillati; Bacillota; Bacilli; Lactobacillales; Enterococcaceae. The record is from RNAcentral.
GCGGGUGUAGUUUAGUGGUAACCACAGCCUUCCAAGCUGUUGUCGCGAGUUCGAUUCUCGUCACCCGCU